RNAcentral lists this ribosomal RNA (2081 nucleotides) under Conoplectus canaliculatus. Its description in RNAcentral is "partial 18S ribosomal RNA". It matches the Rfam family "Eukaryotic small subunit ribosomal RNA". Lineage: Eukaryota; Metazoa; Arthropoda; Insecta; Coleoptera; Staphylinidae. The record is from RNAcentral.
AGAAGUGCAUGCUAGUCUUAAGGACUAAGCCAUGCAAGUAUGAGUUCAAGGAGACGAAAAAUGUAUGGGCCGAGGGCGAACCCGUUGGGUCUUAGGGCCAAACAUAUAACAUCUAUUCGACCGAAGCGCAACAUGGCCUUCCUAAAACUGCGUUCGGCUCAGUAAAAAAUUUAGAAUGAUGGUAUGGCAUAAUGAAAUGUACUGGCCGGCCGGCUUCGCGGCUGGUCGGCGCAACGUACACGAUUGACCAGAUAACUGUGGUAAAACCAUAGCUAAUAUGUGAAAGGGUACCGCGUCCACGGACGGCGGUAUGAAGGUGCCCGUCGCGGUUGUAACCGUCGUGCUUCACGUGCGGCGGCGUCGCGCGCGGGCGCCGCUGAGCUACUACGCAUAAGAGCGUGCACUCAAAGACGAGACUGGUAGCCCAGCGUAGCGAUCGAAUCGCAACCAACCGUGGCUGAAUUAUUUAUCAAUUGGUGUGGUGUAUCGUGCACACCAGAGAUUGCUACGGGUCACGGGGAAUCAGGGUUCGAUUCCGGAGAAGGCGCCUGCUACACGGCUACUAAUCCUAAGGGGUGCAGCAGGCGCGAAACUUGCCCAAUGAGAGCCACUCGAGGCAGCGACGAUAUGUGAUGAUGUGGUGGCUCAUAGUAGUGACCGCAAUUAGACUGAGGUCACCCCAAACAACUGACCAAAAGCUAUUGGAGGGCAAGUCUGGUGCCAGCAGCCGCGGUAACACCAGCUCCAAUGGCGUAUGUUUGUGUUGCUGCGGUUAAAAAGCUCGUAGUAUAUGCCCACGUACGAGCAGCCGAGCCGCCCGCCGAGGGCGGCCUCGGCUACAUGCAACUGAUAUCUGACCCACCAUAUAGAAUGCUCCGGCCGAUGUAAUUGCCCUUCGAAUGGGUGAGAUNNNCGCCGGGUCUAAGGNACGGGUUUGCUACUACCUAGAACAAAUUAAAAUGAUUCAAGUNNNNNNNNNNNNNNNNNNNNNNNNGUUAACACGUCAGCGUGGCCGGCGUUCGCGUCGCGCCCGUUCGGCGUCCGUUUGCGCGCGGUCGCGCACGGUCUUGCGAUAAAUGCAAGCGCGAUCGGGAGAUGAGCCUGUUAUACGAUUGUGAGGGGUGAAAUUCAGAGACCGCUUUGGGAGCGGCCGUGGCAAAGGCGGAAAAUUUGCCCCUCACACAGCCUUUGACUCAAUAACUACUCGAUCGACCAAGAGCGAAAGUUUGAGGAUCGAAGGCGAUCAGAUACCGCCCUAGUUUUAACCGUAAACGAUGCCAUCUUGGAGUACGCUAAUAAGAAUGCGUAUAAUUAGCGAGCUCCAUCCGGGAAACCAAAGACAUUGGGUUCCGGGGGAAGUAUGGUUGCAAAACUGAAACUUAAAGGAAUUGACGGAAAGGCACCACCAGCCGUGGAGCUUGCGGCUUAAUUUGACUCAACACGGGAAAACUCACCAGACCCGCACGUGAGCACGAAUGACAUACUAAUAGAUAUUUCUUGAUUGCACGUCUGGUGGUGCAUGGCCGUUCAUAGUUGGUGGAGUGAUUUGUCUGGUUAAUUCCGUUAACGAGCGAGACCCCAGCCUGUUAACUAGACGCGCGCAUAGGAAUUGAGCAAGAACGGUGUGCGCGCGCUCGCGGCGCUCGUUCGGCUUCCUGGUCGUUCGGGCGUUCGCGUGUCGCCGCGUGCCGCACUCGGCUUACUAGCUGCGCGCGAAUGACUUCUUAAAGGGACAAGCUGUAUAUAGUAGUACGAGACGGGGCAAUAACAGGUCAGUCAUGCCCUUAGAUGUUCUGGGCUGCACGCGUGCUACAAUGAGUAAUCCAACUAGUGAGCCCGGGCCGAGAGGCUCCGGGAAAUCUACACAAUGUUAACUCGUAGUUGGAAUUGAGGCCUGCAACUGGCCUCAUGAACCCGGAAUGCCUAGUAAUUCUGCAUCACUAGUCCGGGCUGAUUUAGUCCCUGCCCUUUGUACACACCGCCCGUCGCUACUACCGAUUGGGUAGGUUAGCGAGGUAUUUGGACUGCACGCGUCAGCGCGCAGAAAGAUUAUCAAACUUGUCUAUUUAGAGGAAGUAAAA